Molecule: long non-coding RNA, 898 nt
Filed under: Ailuropoda melanoleuca (giant panda)
Lineage: Eukaryota; Metazoa; Chordata; Mammalia; Carnivora; Ursidae
Description: lncRNA (ENSAMEG00000026739.1)
Source: RNAcentral
CUUUGUCACAGGAACGAGCACUCCCCCCUCUCCUGACUACCCUGUGGCAUUCCGAGCAGCCAGAUCCAGGUACAAAUAUCUGAUUGCGAGACAUCCCAGCUUCAUGUCCAUCGGCUGGAGGUUACCAGGCCUUGUCUUCGCAAGACUCAGUCAGCCGGCUGCCUGAACCUGCAGCCCACCAGGGAGCACUAAUUCCUGGAGAGGUGGGAACCGAGGUCCAAGGAAGCCAUACCAGAACAAGGCACAAAAUGAAGACAUAAUGAAGACACAAUUUCACAGUCGCUUCUGUCCAUUUUUCAUUGCCCCAAACUCACUUAUGUGGUCCAAAUUAAAGAGUUUACAAGUGUGACGUGAGCAGAGGAUAUGUCAAGAAAAGUGUGAGGACAGAGGAUCAGAUCUACAGUGCUGCUGUUUGCAGGAUCAGCAGAAUCCUUGAAGGGAAUCAACCCAGAGCAGACGCCGAGGACGUUGUGCGUACCAGAGGCGCAGGUACGGACAGCAGGCUGGGUGGAAAGUGGGUAAAAGGAAAACACUAGGAAAUAAUUCUCCCUGGCUGCCCUGGUUUGGGUUCCCUGUGUGGGAUGGCUUCUGUCCAGGCCUGGGUCCAGCCCUGGGGUCCAUGGAUCGUCCAGAAUGAGUCAAGGCCAAGGUUUAAUACGGUAUUCGCAAACACUGAAGAAUAAGGGGUUUUGAGUCUCCUAUGUCUGACCUCAUUCCGUAAAAACUGUGAAAUGGCCAGGUCCCUAAACUUCUCCAUCCUUCAGGUUGCUAGCUCCAACAUAGGGGUGACGGAAAGUGGAAGGUAAUUUAUAGCAUUUGUGAAAACCUGUACUUACAUGUAAGAGGUUUGACUGAUGAUGGGUGCUCAAUGAAUGCCAUCUACAGGAAGAAAUAUUUC